GGAAAGAUGCUCGAGUGGUUGAAGAGGCACGCCUGGAAAGCGUGUAUACGUCAAAAGCGUAUCCGGGGUUCGAAUCCCCGUCUUUCCG
This 88-nucleotide transfer RNA is filed under the name Bacteroidaceae bacterium. Its description in RNAcentral is "tRNA-Ser". It matches the Rfam family "tRNA". Rfam says of the family: Transfer RNA (tRNA) molecules are approximately 80 nucleotides in length. Their secondary structure includes four short double-helical elements and three loops (D, anti-codon, and T loops). The record is from RNAcentral. Lineage: Bacteria; Pseudomonadati; Bacteroidota; Bacteroidia; Bacteroidales; Bacteroidaceae.